This 497-nucleotide ribosomal RNA is filed under the name uncultured bacterium. RNAcentral describes it as "partial 16S ribosomal RNA". It matches the Rfam family "Bacterial small subunit ribosomal RNA", at positions 28 to 507 of the family's 1533-position model. The record is from RNAcentral.
GAUGAACGCUGGCGGCGUGCCUAAUACAUGCAAGUCGAGCGAACAGGCGAGGAGCUUGCUCCUCUGACGUUAGCGGCGGACGGGUGAGUAACGCGUGGAUAACCUACCUAUAAGACUGGGAUAACUUCGGGAAACCGGAGCUAAUACCGGAUAAUAUAUUGAACCGCAUGGUUCAAUAGUGAAAGACGGUUUUGCUGUCACUUAUAGAUGGAUCCGCGCCGCAUUAGCUAGUUGGUAAGGUAACGGCUUACCAAGGCAACGAUGCGUAGCCGACCUGAGAGGGUGAUCGGCCACACUGGAACUGAGACACGGUCCAGACUCCUACGGGAGGCAGCAGUAGGGAAUCUUCCGCAAAGGGCGAAAGCCUGACGGAGCAACGCCGCGUGAGUGAUGAAGGUCUUCGGAUCGUAAAACUCUGUUAUUAGGGAAGAACAAAUGUGUAAGUAACUAUGCACGUCUUGACGGUACCUAAUCAGAAAGCCACGGCUAACUACGUG